Molecule: RNA transcript, 2088 nt
Organism: Solanum dulcamara
Lineage: Eukaryota; Viridiplantae; Streptophyta; Magnoliopsida; Solanales; Solanaceae
Exons: 2
Source: RefSeq, a predicted model, not a curated record
GCGAAAAAUUAUACUAUUUAUACAUGGUUAAAAUAUUUUUUUAUGUAUAAAUAGUAAAUGUCGAACCCCCUUCGACUAGUUCGUGUGUCUACUUUUUCAGAUUUUGAACCCCUUUAUUAAAAAUCCUGGUUCCGCCACUGCUACACUGGAUUAAUAUUCUCCAAACAUCUGUAUUCCUCUCUAGUGCAGUGCAGGAGCACUAUGGAACCAAUAUUGCCCAUCAUGUUUCUCUUUCAAGUAAUGAAGAAUAACAAGAUCCUUCUAUUUCAAUAACCAGCCCCUGUUGCUUUCCCAAAGAAGUUGCUAUAAACGUUGAUUUGAGAAUAUAUAGGCUUAACACUCAAAUGGACACUUGUACUUGCAUAAAUAUCUGUCCCGUGCCCCGCAACUCCACAUGUUCUCAAUUCUCAUCCAGACAUGCAAACUUGAUCAAAACGCAUGCUCUCAGUGCCUCUAACCUCGCGUGUUAUUCAAUUGCACUAGCAUCAGCAUCCACGCCAGAGUUAUAAUGACACAACAUCAUUUAUCUUUCUGCAUUAUUAAAAAAAAUCCAAAUCUCUUUCUCUGCCAUCACCAUCACACACCACCACCAUCAUACACCACCACCUGUUUUUCUCUUAUGUAAAUUUCAGUAAAAGAUCAACUUUUGUUAAAGAAACCCAACAAACUCUCACCCCCUUCACUUGCUUACACAUAUGCAACAAAUAACUCAAGUCUCCCUUCCCGUUCAUCUCAUUCACACCAUAAAUUACCAUCAAAGACCCGUUAUUCUUUUCCAUCUUCCUCAAAACCCACCUAGAAAAGAACAUGGGAAGUACUCCCUCCAUGCCCACUUAGGUGUUCCCUAUAUAUUUUUUGAAUACAAUAAGAGUUCAAUUUUUUAGAGGCACAAUUUUAUCACAGCAUGAAUGCUCAUAUUCUAAAAGGUUCUUAACAGAAAUCAUAGUGGAUCUCUACAGCAUCCAAAAGUCCAUUGAAACUCAACCUCGAAUUAUCUGAUUAGUUGCUUAAAAUUUACUGAUCACCUAAGAAUUUGAAUUAGAACCUCUUUCCCGAACAGAAAAGUAUUGCCCCAGCCCCAGAAUUAUGGCCGACGGCAUAUUCUUCCUGUACUAAGCCUAGCUUCACACCAACACGAUAUGAGGAGCCAUGACUUUCAUAUGACUGAGCAAUUUGAGUUUUGAGUAUCCUUGCUUAUUUGCUCUUUUCUUGUAUAUGUCUAUGCUAGUUAUUGUUUGAGUUCUUUAUUUGUUGCAGUGAGAGACAUGAGUUCUUAAGGAAGAAAAAUUCCAGGGAGUGUUUGGUGUGAGAGAGCAGGUAAGAGAGAGCAUUGACAUUGUGAAGAUGGCGAGAAGGCAGUCUGAACAAGGAGUUGACCUGAAUGGUGAAGCUCUUUUUCAAUGGUAUUAUUGGAAGAAGGGAAAGAAAAAGUGAAAAUAAAAGCAUAAAAGAUGUCUUUUUCUUAAACUGUUUAUUGUUUAAUUUUUAGAUUCCACGCUCCUGAAAGUCAUGUAUAUCACUCGCUUUGUCCAACUCAAUUAUAUAAUUGCCACAUAAGCUCAGUCGAUGGUCAGAGGCAUUUUAAACAAUAGAUUCAUACAUGUCUAGGUGUUUGGGUGAGAAUUCGUAGAGUUGGACAGCCAGUAACAGAGCUCUGUGCAAGUAUGGAUGUCUAAUUGGAUGUUAGUCCAAUAAUAUAAGCAUAUUAUAGUGACAUUUGUGUAGGUUCAAUAGCAUGUCGACUUGAGAAGAAGGAAGGUGGAGCUGUUUGUGUUUAUAUAAUGACUUUGGGUGUUUUAGCUCCAUAUCGUGGUCUGGGUAUUGGUAAGUGAUCAACUUAUCUUCAGAGUGAAUAUUAACAUUAAACUUUACUUACUUUGUUGCAUGUUUACAUCAAAACAUUUGUGUAUUGAUGGAACCCCCAACUCUCACUACAUCUUUUCUGUUUAUCCAUUUUUUUAAUCAGUAUCUUUUCUUGUAAUCUUUGAUAUCUGUUUAAAUGCAUAUUUUGGCUCCAAAGUCCAAACUCUGAGAUCUGUGAAAAAAUAUCGAACUUUUCUUUUGAAGAUGAGUAGCUGCAGGGAAUCC